UACGAAGGGUGCAAGCGUUAAUCGGAUUUACUGGGCGUAAAGGGCGCGUAGGCGGCGUGGUAAGUCAGCUGUGAAAUCUCCGAGCUUAACUCGGAACGGUCAGCUGAUACUGCUGUGCUAGAGUACAGAAAGGGCAAUCGGAAUUCUUGGUGUAGCGGUGAAAUGCGUAGAUAUCAAGAGGAACACCUGAGGCGAAGGCGGGUUGCUAGGCUGAUACUGACGCUGAGGCGCGAAAGCUAGGGGAGCAAACGGG
RNAcentral lists this ribosomal RNA (253 nucleotides) under uncultured bacterium. RNAcentral describes it as "partial 16S ribosomal RNA". It matches the Rfam family "Bacterial small subunit ribosomal RNA", at positions 524 to 776 of the family's 1533-position model. The record is from RNAcentral.